ACGCGGCUCAGCCUGCACCUCCUGGCAAAUCAUCACGACAGCCUGCUGCAGCUUUGUUAUCGAGACAAGAACCAGAGGAGUCAAUGUUCCUGGUUACUGAAGAAGACACUGUUGAAAAAAAGCCAACCAGGAUGUUCCAGAACCUGUUCCAUAAUAUGGAGUUCUGCAAGUCUUUGGUACACCUUCCUUCAGUGGGUAACUGUAGCUCCUCUCCCUGAGUGGGGACCACUGCUCCAGCCUCUUGUCGGCCAUAAUCAGAAUGAAGCAGAAGUGAUGAUGGGUGACCUUGGAGACUGGGCUGUAGAAGGUCCUCUCACUGACCCGGUGGUCCUCCAAGAGGCCAGGCUCGCUGGCCAGCCAAUCUCUGGGGACUCUGCCUCCUGCCUCACAGGGCUGGGAUUAAAGUGUGGCUGUGGUGCCUGGAAGGGCUGCAGAUGUGAGGACAGAAGUUACCUGUUUAUGAGGGCAGGGCAGGUGCUAGGAGGAGGCUGGGCUUCUGCACGUCUGAGCCACCCGUGCCGACCAUCUCCUGAUUCUGGCCGCUGCCGGGAGAGGUGGCUCUCUUGCAGCUUAGUACACUCCUCAGGCAGUGGUUCAAGGUAAAAGGAUCAAAUAACUGUGUCUGCCAAGUCUCGCAGUCAGCGACCCACAGAAUGGGCUAAGAUGGCCUUCAAGAAAUUUUAGCGUGAGGACAACUGCGCCACUAGACGCUUCCCUAGUGUUUCUCUGCCAACAGCACUCCCACCGCUUGAGGACACCAAUGGGCUCCCCGUGGAGCACAUUUGGGAAUAAGCAAUAGCAGAAAGGGAAGAAGGGAGGCCUGGGUUGGGAUGCUGUGUGGCUUCAGGCAUAUUCCUGAACCUCUCUGAGCUCCAGUCCAUAGAAUGAAGACAGUUGGUACAGAUUAAGCUUAUGCUAAGUCUUUACUGCUUACACCUUUGAAAACUCUUG
Non-coding RNA from Peromyscus maniculatus bairdii (prairie deer mouse), 951 nucleotides. Lineage: Eukaryota; Metazoa; Chordata; Mammalia; Rodentia; Cricetidae. The record is from RefSeq and is a predicted model, not a curated record.